GGACAACAGGUAGAGAUUCCUGUACCAGUGCUAAUUGUUUAACCGAUGGGGUGACACAGAAGGAUAGGGAAUCGCACGAAUGGAAAUGUGCGUCCAAGCAGUGAGUGUGAGAAGUAGGCAAAUCCGCUUCUCGCGAAGCAUGAGCUGUGAUGGGGAAGGAAAUUAAGUACGGAAGUUCCUGAUUUCACGCUGUCAAGAAAAGCCUCUAGGAAGAGUAGUACUGCCCGUACCGCAAACCGACACAGGUAGAUGAGGAGAGAAUCCUAAGGUGAGCGAGAGAACUCUCGUUAAGGAACUCGGCAAAAUGACCCCGUAACUUCGGGAGAAGGGGUGCUCUAUUAGGGUGCAAGCCCGAGAGAGCCGCAGUGAAUAGGCCCAGGCGACUGUUUAGCAAAAACACAGGUCUCUGCAAAACCGUAAGGUGACGUAUAGGGGCUGACGCCUGCCCGGUGCUGGAAGGUUAAGAGGAGUGCUUAGCUUCGGCGAAGGUACGAAUUGAAGCCCCAGUAAACGGCGGCCGUAACUAUAACGGUCCUAAGGUAGCGAAAUUCCUUGUCGGGUAAGUUCCGACCCGCACGAAAGGCGCAACGAUCUGGGCACUGUCUCAACGAGAGACUCGGUGAAAUUAUAG
Molecule: ribosomal RNA, 631 nt
Filed under: Listeria monocytogenes
Lineage: Bacteria; Bacillati; Bacillota; Bacilli; Caryophanales; Listeriaceae
Description: partial 23S ribosomal RNA
Rfam family: Bacterial large subunit ribosomal RNA
Source: RNAcentral